Molecule: microRNA precursor, 195 nt
Filed under: Cinara cedri
Lineage: Eukaryota; Metazoa; Arthropoda; Insecta; Hemiptera; Aphididae
Source: RNAcentral
UAUUUAUAGAGAGAGAGAGAGAGAGAGAGAGAGAGAGAGACAGUGGGAUAGAGCGGGAGAGAAGUAUUGUAACCCGCUCUAAUACUUUACUAAAAUAUUACUGCGCAGUAAUAGCGCAAUAGCGAUUUGUUAUUUUUAUAUUUUCUUCCCUCUCUCUCUCUCUCUCUCUCUCUCUCUCCGUCGCCGUCUCUCUCU